Molecule: ribosomal RNA, 1342 nt
Filed under: uncultured bacterium
Lineage: Bacteria
Description: bacterial SSU rRNA
Rfam family: Bacterial small subunit ribosomal RNA
Source: RNAcentral
GACGAACGCUGGCGGCGUGCUUAACACAUGCAAGUCGAACGAUGAUGCCCAGCUUGCUGGGUGGAUUAGUGGCGAACGGGUGAGUAACACGUGAGUAACCUGCCCCUGACUCUGGGAUAAGCGUUGGAAACGACGUCUAAUACUGGAUAUGACUGCCGGCCGCAUGGUCUGGUGGUGGAAAGAUUUUUUGGUUGGGGAUGGACUCGCGGCCUAUCAGCUUGUUGGUGAGGUAAUGGCUCACCAAGGCGACGACGGGUAGCCGGCCUGAGAGGGUGACCGGCCACACUGGGACUGAGACACGGCCCAGACUCCUACGGGAGGCAGCAGUGGGGAAUAUUGCACAAUGGGCGAAAGCCUGAUGCAGCAACGCCGCGUGAGGGAUGACGGCCUUCGGGUUGUAAACCUCUUUUAGUAGGGAAGAAGCGAAAGUGACGGUACCUGCAGAAAAAGCACCGGCUAACUACGUGCCAGCAGCCGCGGUAAUACGUAGGGUGCAAGCGUUGUCCGGAAUUAUUGGGCGUAAGGAGCUCGUAGGCGGUUUGUCGCGUCUGCUGUGAAAUCCCGAGGCUCAACCUCGGGCUUGCAGUGGGUACGGGCAGACUAGAGUGCGGUAGGGGAGAUUGGAAUUCCUGGUGUAGCGGUGGAAUGCGCAGAUAUCAGGAGGAACACCGAUGGCGAAGGCAGAUCUCUGGGCCGUAACUGACGCUGAGGAGCGAAAGCAUGGGGAGCGAACAGGAUUAGAUACCCUGGUAGUCCAUGCCGUAAACGUUGGGCGCUAGAUGUAGGGACCUUUCCACGGUUUCUGUGUCGUAGCUAACGCAUUAAGCGCCCCGCCUGGGGAGUACGGCCGCAAGGCUAAAACUCAAAGGAAUUGACGGGGGCCCGCACAAGCGGCGGAGCAUGCGGAUUAAUUCGAUGCAACGCGAAGAACCUUACCAAGGCUUGACAUACACCGGAAACGGCCAGAGAUGGUCGCCCCCUUGUGGUCGGUGUACAGGUGGUGCAUGGUUGUCGUCAGCUCGUGUCGUGAGAUGUUGGGUUAAGUCCCGCAACGAGCGCAACCCUCGUUCUAUGUUGCCAGCGCGUUAUGGCGGGGACUCAUAGGAGACUGCCGGGGUCAACUCGGAGGAAGGUGGAGAUGACGUCAAAUCAUCAUGCCCCUUAUGUCUUGGGCUUCACGCAUGCUACAAUGGCCGGUACAAAGGGCUGCGAUACCGUAAGGUGGAGCGAAUCCCAAAAAGCCGGUCUCAGUUCGGAUUGAGGUCUGCAACUCGACCUCAUGAAGUCGGAGUCGCUAGUAAUCGCAGAUCAGCAACGCUGCGGUGAAUACGUUCCCGGGCCU